RNAcentral lists this ribosomal RNA (1508 nucleotides) under metagenome. RNAcentral describes it as "bacterial LSU rRNA". It matches the Rfam family "Bacterial large subunit ribosomal RNA", at positions 1424 to 2925 of the family's 2925-position model. The record is from RNAcentral.
AGCAGGUCAAUAUUCCUGUACCGAUUCGUAGUGCGAUGUGGGGACGGAGAAGGUUAACUCAGCCGGGUGUUGGAUGUCCCGGUUCAAGCCUGUAGCCAUGCCUGGUAGGCAAAUCCGCCGGGCUUAGGUGAGAGGUGAUAACGAGUCUGCUUGCAGACGAAGUGAGUGAUACCCUGCUUCCAGGAAAAGCCACUAAGCUUCAGCUACGAACGACCGUACCGCAAACCGACACUGGUGCGCGAGAUGGGUAUUCUAAGGCGCUUGAGAGAACUCUGGAGAAGGAACUCGGCAAAUUGACACCGUAACUUCGGGAGAAGGUGUGCCUUUAGUAGGUGAAGUCCCUCGCGGACCGAGCCCAAUGAGGUUGCAAAGAAUCGGUGGCUGCGACUGUUUAAUAAAAACACAGCACUCUGCAAAGACGAGAGUCGACGUAUAGGGUGUGACGCCUGCCCGGUGCUGGAAGAUUAAAUGAUGGGGUGCAAGCUCUUGAUUGAAGUCCCAGUAAACGGCGGCCGUAACUAUAACGGUCCUAAGGUAGCGAAAUUCCUUGUCGGGUAAGUUCCGACCUGCACGAAUGGCGUAACGAUGGCCACACUGUCUCCUCCAGAGACUCAGCGAAGUUGAAAUGUUUGUGAUGAUGCAAUCUCCCCGCGGAAAGACGGAAAGACCCCAUGAACCUUUACUGCAGCUUUACAUUGGACUUUGAACAGAUCUGUGUAGGAUAGGUGGGAGGCUUUGAAGUGGGGACGCUAGUUCUCAUGGAGCCAACGUUGAAAUACCACCCUGGUGUGUUUGAGGUUCUAACCUUGGCCCGUGAUCCGGGUUGGGGACAGUGUAUGGUAGGCAGUUUGACUGGGGCGGUCUCCUCCCAAAGCGUAACGGAGGAGUUCGAAGGUACGCUAGGCACGGUCGGAAAUCGUGCUGAUAGUGCAUUGGCAUAAGCGUGCUUGACUGCGAGACUGACAAGUCGAGCAGGUACGAAAGUAGGACAAAGUGAUCCGGUGGUUCUGUAUGGAAGGGCCAUCGCUCAACGGAUAAAAGGUACUCUGGGGAUAACAGGCUGAUACCGCCCAAGAGUUCAUAUCGACGGCGGUGUUUGGCACCUCGAUGUCGGCUCAUCUCAUCCUGGGGCUGUAGCCGGUCCCAAGGGUAUGGCUGUUCGCCAUUUAAAGAGGUACGUGAGCUGGGUUUAAAACGUCGUGAGACAGUUUGGUCCCUAUCUUCCGUGGGCGUUGCAAGAUUGAGAGAGCCUGCUCCUAGUACGAGAGGACCGGAGUGGACGCACCUCUGGUGUAUCGGUUGUCACGCCAGUGGCAUUGCCGAGUGGCUAAGUGCGGAAGAGAUAACCGCUGAAAGCAUCUAAGCGGGAAACUCGUCUCAAGAUGAGUCUUGCCGGGGCCUUGAGCCCCCUGAAGGGUCGUUCGAGACCAGGACGUUGAUAGGCUGGGUGUGGAAGCGCAGUAAUGCGUUAAGCUAACCAGUACUAAUUGCCCGUGAGGCUUGACCCU